AACUGCAAGAAGCAAUCACUUUAACUUUUUACACAAAACUUUCCAGACAAUAAAAAAGACAGAUGUCUCAACUUAUUUACAGGACAAGUAUGAUCUUGACACCAACAUCAAAGGCAAGACAAGAAAGACAAAAAUAAGUGCACUGGCCAGGCGUGGUGGCUUACACCUGUAAUCUUAGCACUUUGGGAGGCUGAAGUGGGAGGAUCACUUGAGGUCCGGAGUUU
This is a long non-coding RNA of Sapajus apella (tufted capuchin), 224 nucleotides long. RefSeq lists it as uncharacterized. The transcript is spliced from 3 exons. Lineage: Eukaryota; Metazoa; Chordata; Mammalia; Primates; Cebidae. The record is from RefSeq and is a predicted model, not a curated record.